This 253-nucleotide ribosomal RNA is filed under the name uncultured bacterium. RNAcentral describes it as "partial 16S ribosomal RNA". It matches the Rfam family "Bacterial small subunit ribosomal RNA", at positions 524 to 776 of the family's 1533-position model. The record is from RNAcentral.
GACAGAGGGUGCGAACGUUGUUCGGAAUUACUGGGCGUAAAGCGCGUGUAGGCUGUUCGGAAAGUCGGGUGUGAAAGCCCUGGGCUCAACCUAGGAAGUGCACUCGAAACUCCCGAACUGGAGUCCCGGAGAGGAAGGCGGAAUUCUCGGUGUAGAGGUGAAAUUCGUAGAUAUCGAGAGGAACAUCGGUGGCGAAGGCGGCCUUCUGGACGGUGACUGACGCUGAGACGCGAAAGCGAGGGGAGCAAACAGG